GCCGAGGUGGUGGAAUGGCUUACACGUCGGUCUCAAAAACCGAUGAGCGCAAGCUCGUGAGGGUUCAACUCCCUCCCUCGGCACCA
Molecule: transfer RNA, 86 nt
Filed under: Candidatus Omnitrophica bacterium CG23_combo_of_CG06-09_8_20_14_all_40_11
Lineage: Bacteria; Pseudomonadati; Candidatus Omnitrophota
Description: tRNA-Leu
Rfam family: tRNA
About the family: Transfer RNA (tRNA) molecules are approximately 80 nucleotides in length. Their secondary structure includes four short double-helical elements and three loops (D, anti-codon, and T loops).
Source: RNAcentral